Molecule: ribosomal RNA, 509 nt
Filed under: uncultured bacterium
Lineage: Bacteria
Description: bacterial SSU rRNA
Rfam family: Bacterial small subunit ribosomal RNA
Source: RNAcentral
GACGAACGCUGGCGGCGUGGAUUAGGCAUGCAAGUCGAACGGUAUCAUCCUUUCGGGGGUGAGAGAGUGGCGAACUGGUGAGUAACACGUAGGUUAUCUACCCUCAAGACGGGGACAACCCAGGGAAACUUGGGCUAAUACCGGAUGUGAGCAACUUUUAGUUGUUUGAAAGGUGGCGUAAGCUGUCGCUUGGGGAUGAGCCUGCGUCCUAUUAGUUAGUUGGUGAGGUAACGGCUCACCUAGGCAAUGAUGGGUAGGCGGCCUUAACGGGUGGUCGCCCACACUGGGAUUGAGAUACGGCCCAGACUCCUACGGGAGGCAGCAGUCGAGAAUAGUCUACAAUGGUCGGAAGACUGAUAGUGCGACGCCGCGUGAACGAUGAAUCCCUUCGGGGUGUAAAGUUCUUUUAUAUGUGAGCAGUGCUUCUUAUAUUAACAGUAUGGGGAGAGAGAUAUUAGCAUAUGAAUAAGCAACGGCUAACUCCGUGCCAGCAGCCGCGGUAAACUCGU